UGGGGAAUUUUGGACAAUGGGCGAAAGCCUGAUCCAGCAAUGCCGCGUGUGUGAAGAAGGCCUUCGGGUUGUAAAGCACUUUUGUCCGGAAAGAAAUCCUCUGGGUUAAUACCUCGGGGGGAUGACGGUACCGGAAGAAUAAGCACCGGCUAACUACGUGCCAGCAGCCGCGGUAAUACGUAGGGUGCAAGCGUUAAUCGGAAUUACUGGGCGUAAAGCGUGCGCAGGCGGUUUUGUAAGACGGAUGUGAAAUCCCCGGGCUUAACCUGGGAACUGCAUUCGUGACUGCAAGGCUAGAGUAUGGCAGAGGGGGGUAGAAUUCCACGUGUAGCAGUGAAAUGCGUAGAGAUGUGGAGGAAUACCGAUGGCGAAGGCAGCCCCCUGGGCCAAAUACUGACGCUCAUGCACGAAAGCGUGGGGAGCAAACAGGAUUAGAUACCCUGGUAGUCCACGCCCUAAAACGAUGUCAACUAGUUGUUGGGGAUUCAUUUCCUUAGUAACGUAGCUAACGCGUGAAGUUGACCGCCUGGGGAGUACGGUCGCAAGAUUAAAACUCAAAUGAAUUGACGGGGUCAUAGCUG
This 581-nucleotide ribosomal RNA is filed under the name uncultured bacterium. Its description in RNAcentral is "partial 16S ribosomal RNA". It matches the Rfam family "Bacterial small subunit ribosomal RNA", at positions 355 to 932 of the family's 1533-position model. The record is from RNAcentral.